GACGAACGCUGGCGGCGUGCUUAACACAUGCAAGUCGAACGGAAAGGCCCUGCUUUUGUGGGGUGCUCGAGUGGCGAACGGGUGAGUAACACGUGAGUAACCUGCCCUUGACUUUGGGAUAACUUCAGGAAACUGGGGCUAAUACCGGAUAGAAGCUCCUGCUGCAUGGUGGGGGUUGGAAAGUUUCGGCGGUUGGGGAUGGACUCGCGGCUUAUCAGCUUGUUGGUGGGGUAGUGGCUUACCAAGGCUUUGACGGGUAGCCGGCCUGAGAGGGUGACCGGCCACAUUGGGACUGAGAUACGGCCCAGAAUCCUACGGGAGGCAGCAGUGGGGAAUAUUGCACAAUGGGCGGAAGCCUGAUGCAGCAACGCCGCGUGCGGGAUGCCGGCCUUCGGGUUGUAAACCGCUGUCGCCUGUGACGAAGCGUGAGUGACGGUAAUGGGUAAAGAAGCGCCGGCUAACUACGUG
Molecule: ribosomal RNA, 468 nt
Filed under: uncultured bacterium
Lineage: Bacteria
Description: partial 16S ribosomal RNA
Rfam family: Bacterial small subunit ribosomal RNA
Source: RNAcentral